Molecule: ribosomal RNA, 451 nt
Filed under: uncultured bacterium
Lineage: Bacteria
Description: partial 16S ribosomal RNA
Rfam family: Bacterial small subunit ribosomal RNA
Source: RNAcentral
GUGGGGAAUAUUGGACAAUGGGGGGAACCCUGAUCCAGCCAUGCCGCGUGUGUGAAGAAGGCCUUUUGGUUGUAAAGCACUUUAAGCGAGGAGGAGGCUAUCGAGAUUAAUACUCUUGGAUAGUGGACGUUACUCGCAGAAUAAGCACCGGCUAACUCUGUGCCAGCAGCCGCGGUAAUACAGAGGGUGCAAGCGUUAAUCGGAUUUACUGGGCGUAAAGCGCGCGUAGGUGGCCAAUUAAGUCAAAUGUGAAAUCCCCGAGCUUAACUUGGGAAUUGCAUUCGAUACUGGAUGGCUAGAGUAUGGGAGAGGAUGGUAGAAUUCCAUGUGUAGCGGUGAAAUGCGUAGAGAUCUGGAGGAAUACCGAUGGCGAAGGCAGCCAUCUGGCCUAAUACUGACACUGAGGUGCGAAAGCAUGGGGAGCAAACAGGAUUAGAAACCCGAGUAGUCC